GCUAAUCAUAGACUAAAAGUAGAUUUGUUAGUAAUGUGACGCGUAACAUUUUAAUUAUCUUUGCUAAAAUGAACGAAAGGAACAUUUUGCUGAACGAGACUCAAAGGUCCGAGUCAAUAAAAUGAUCCGAACUUCCCAUCACUAACACCAAAUGAGAGAAUGGACAUGGAAAAAUGUGACGGUUUCAUUGGUGUACCACGGCCCACUUUAGACAACAUCAGCACAAGAUAGUCAGCGUCCUGAUAAGGUCAGCAUGGAUUUGGGUACUUGAUUCCUCACUUGCUGUGUCCUAUAAGGAAAAGAACUGAAGACUGGUGGGAAUGAGUGUUGUACCUAAAGAGAGAAAACCAGAUCCGAGGAUCUCAACAACACCAAGAGAAUGACUCAACAAAAGAGGAUGAAAGCGCAAGGCACGGAGGAAUAGAUGUCGGGCACUUUCUGACGAGUUCCUGUCCUCCAUCUCACAUUUGGCAGCCAUCAUCCACAAAGCUGAAAGAAUAAUGAAGAAAUAUUUCUGACCAUCUGGCUGAC
Molecule: long non-coding RNA, 531 nt
Organism: Triplophysa dalaica
Lineage: Eukaryota; Metazoa; Chordata; Actinopteri; Cypriniformes; Nemacheilidae
Exons: 4
Source: RefSeq, a predicted model, not a curated record